Molecule: non-coding RNA, 456 nt
Organism: Chlorocebus sabaeus (green monkey)
Lineage: Eukaryota; Metazoa; Chordata; Mammalia; Primates; Cercopithecidae
Source: RefSeq, a predicted model, not a curated record
CAGACAGAGCAGAUGGCGAAGUGUAGCCGGAACCCCUGGUGUGAGUGAAGUGAGAUCCAUUGCAAGGAGGAGUCUGGAGGUGGCUCUGAGGACCUGCAGGGGGACAGAAGCCAGGUGAGGCCUUCCCAACCUCCCCUUGCCACUGAGGUGCAGGCUGUGCCAGCCAGAGGCCCCGUGCCAGACUCUGAAUCUGUAGCAGGCAUCAAGACGAAGGCACCCUGGGAGGGUGGUGACAGCCAAAUCCUGUUUCCAGAGGCUUAGGGGGGUGAGCCCUUAGCGCCACCACCCAGGGCCCAAAUCAGUGGCAUUGGCAAACAGUGGUGUCAGUGCCCAGGAUGGCUCUGCCAGGCUGGCUUGGCUGUGACCUUUGGGACAUUAUUCCUGGCUAACUCUCUGGCCCUGCUGGAGAUACUAUGAGCUACAGAAUAGUUUUAAUAAAUUAUUUUCCAGCCUAAA